UUCCACAAUGGUCGCAAGUCUGAUGGAGCAACGCCGCGUGAGUGAAGAAGGCUUUCGGGUCGUAAAACUCUGUUGUUGGAGAAGAAUGGUCGGCAGAGUAACUGUUGUCGGCGUGACGGUAUCCAACCAGAAAGCCACGGCUAACUACGUGCCAGCAGCCGCGGGUAAUACGUAGGUGGGCAAGCGUUAUCCGGAUUUAUUGGGCGUAAAGCGAGCGCAGGCGGUUUUUUAAGUCUGAUGUGAAAGCCCUCGGCUUAACCGAGGAAGCGCAUCGGAAACUGGGAAACUUGAGUGCAGAAGAGGACAGUGGAACUCCAUGUGUAGCGGUGAAAUGCGUAGAAUAUAUGGAAGAACACCAGUGGCGAAGGCGGCUGUCUGGUCUGUAACUGACGCUGAGGCUCGAAAGCAUGGGUAGCGAACAGGAUUAGAUACCCUGGUAGUCCAUGCCGUAAACGAUGAAUGCUAGGUGUUGGAGGGUUUCCGCCCUUCAGUGCCGC
RNAcentral lists this ribosomal RNA (497 nucleotides) under Lacticaseibacillus paracasei. RNAcentral's name for it is "bacterial SSU rRNA". It matches the Rfam family "Bacterial small subunit ribosomal RNA", at positions 364 to 849 of the family's 1533-position model. The record is from RNAcentral. Lineage: Bacteria; Bacillati; Bacillota; Bacilli; Lactobacillales; Lactobacillaceae.